Molecule: ribosomal RNA, 521 nt
Filed under: uncultured Bacillota bacterium
Lineage: Bacteria; Bacillati; Bacillota
Description: bacterial SSU rRNA
Rfam family: Bacterial small subunit ribosomal RNA
Source: RNAcentral
UAGGGAAUCUUCCGCAAUGGACGAAAGUCUGACGGAGCAACGCCGCGUGAACGAUGAAGGCCUUCGGGUCGUAAAGUUCUGUUGUUAGGGAAGAACAAGUACCGGAGUAAUUGCCGGUACCUUGACGGUACCUAACCAGAAAGCCACGGCUAACUACGUGCCAGCAGCCGCGGUAAUACGUAGGUGGCAAGCGUUGUCCGGAAUUAUUGGGCGUAAAGCGCGCGCAGGCGGUUCCUUAAGUCUGAUGUGAAAGCCCCCGGCUCAACCGGGGAGGGUCAUUGGAAACUGGGGAACUUGAGUACUGAAGAGGAAAGCGGAAUUCCACGUGUAGCGGUGAAAUGCGUAGAGAUGUGGAGGAACACCAGUGGCGAAGGCGGCUUUCUGGUCAGUAACUGACGCUGAGGCGCGAAAGCGUGGGGAGCAAACAGGAUUAGAUACCCUGGUAGUCCACGCCGUAAACGAUGAGUGCUAAGUGUUAGAGGGUUUCCGCCCUUUAGUGCUGCAGCAAACGCAUUAAGCAC